Molecule: ribosomal RNA, 700 nt
Filed under: Cellulomonas sp. S11-4
Lineage: Bacteria; Bacillati; Actinomycetota; Actinomycetes; Micrococcales; Cellulomonadaceae
Also listed under: 1 other name
Description: bacterial SSU rRNA
Rfam family: Bacterial small subunit ribosomal RNA
Source: RNAcentral
CGUGGGGGAUGAAGGCCUUCGGGUUGUAAACCCCUUUCAGCAGGGAAGAAGCGAAAGUGACGUUACCUGCAGAAGAAGCGCCGGCUAACUACGUGCCAGCAGCCGCGGUAAUACGUAGGGCGCAAGCGUUGUCCGGAAUUAUUGGGCGUAAAGAGCUCGUAGGCGGUUCGUCGCGUCUGCUGUGAAAGCCCGAGGCUCAACCUCGGGUCUGCAGUGGGUACGGGCGGACUAGAGUGUGGUAGGGGAGACUGGAAUUCCUGGUGUAGCGGUGGAAUGCGCAGAUAUCAGGAGGAACACCAAUGGCGAAGGCAGGUCUCUGGGCCACAACUGACGCUGAGGAGCGAAAGCGUGGGGAGCGAACAGGAUUAGAUACCCUGGUAGUCCACGCCGUAAACGGUGGGCACUAGAUGUGGGGCUCUUUCCAUGAGUUCCGCGUCGCAGCUAACGCAUUAAGUGCCCCGCCUGGGGAGUACGGCCGCAAGGCUAAAACUCAAAGGAAUUGACGGGGGCCCGCACAAGCGGCGGAGCAUGCGGAUUAAUUCGAUGCAACGCGAAGAACCUUACCAAGGCUUGACAUAUACCUUCUAUCCUCAGAGAUGGGGAGUGCUUUUAGCGGGGUAUACAGGUGGUGCAUGGUUGUCGUCAGCUCGUGUCGUGAGAUGUUGGGUUAAGUCCCGCAACGAGCGCAACCCUCGUCCUA